Molecule: ribosomal RNA, 301 nt
Filed under: uncultured bacterium
Lineage: Bacteria
Description: partial 16S ribosomal RNA
Rfam family: Bacterial small subunit ribosomal RNA
Source: RNAcentral
CAGUCGCCACGGUAAUACGAAGGGUGCAAGCGUUAAUCGGAUUUACUGGGCGUAAAGCGUGCGUAGGCGGCUUUUUAAGUCGGAUGUGAAAUCCCUGAGCUUAACUUAGGAAUUGCAUUCGAUACUGGGAAGCUAGAGUAUGGGAGAGGAUGGUAGAAUUCCAGGUGUAGCGGUGAAAUGCGUAGAGAUCUGGAGGAAUACCGAUGGCGAAGGCAGCCAUCUGGCCUAAUACUGACGCUCAUGCACGAAAGCGUGGGGAGCAAACAGGAUUAGAUACCCCCGUAGUCCCUGUCUCUUAUAC